UCAUGUCCUUAUGCCCACUGCAGGCACGAUGACCUAGGCCUCUGGAUAUUUGCAUUUUGACUUUGUAUCUGGGGCCCUCACAGUAUCUGGACGAAGACUCUUUACAUACAUACACACACAUUUGUAGGGAACCAGCCCCACAUCACACCUGUGGGUACCCCACGUUCAGUGGG
Saimiri boliviensis boliviensis (Bolivian squirrel monkey) is the source of this 173-nucleotide non-coding RNA. Lineage: Eukaryota; Metazoa; Chordata; Mammalia; Primates; Cebidae. The record is from RefSeq and is a predicted model, not a curated record.